RNAcentral lists this ribosomal RNA (464 nucleotides) under uncultured bacterium. RNAcentral describes it as "partial 16S ribosomal RNA". It matches the Rfam family "Bacterial small subunit ribosomal RNA", at positions 338 to 795 of the family's 1533-position model. The record is from RNAcentral.
CCUACGUGUGGCAGCAGUAGGGAAUUUUCGUCAAUGGGCGCAAGCCUGAACGAGCAAUGCCGCGUGAACGAGGACGGUCUUCGGAUCGUAAAGUUCUGUUGAAGGGGAAAAAGAGCGGAGAGAGGAAAUGCUUUCUGAUUGAUAUUACCCUUCGAGGACGUCACGGCUAACUACGUGCCAGCAGCCGCGGUAAUACGUCGGUGGCGAGCGUUAUCCGGAAUGGUUGGGCGAAAAGGGUGCGUAGGCGGCCUGCUAAGUCUGGGGUGAAAGGUACCGGCUCAACCGGUACAGGCCCUGGAAACUGGCGGGCUAGAGAUGAGGAGAGGGCGGUGGAACGCCAGGUGUAGCGGUAAAAUGCGUAGAUAUAGGGAAGAACACCAGUGGCGAAGGCGGCCGCCUGGCCUGUUACUGACGCUGAGGCACGAAAGCGUGGGGAGCAAAUAGGAUUAGAUACCCUUGUAGUC